CUGAGGAUGCUGCUGGCUAAGAAUUAGGAGAUGUUUUCGAACAUUUAUGUGUCUAGAAGGAAAUCGAACUGGUAAAAGAUAGGCUUUUCAUGGGUGUUGAAAAAAAGAAAGGUGGUGGGCAUACCAUUGUCCACCCCCUGAAAAUUAUGAACAUGUACACUUCCCGGGUGGCUAGAGGCCUGCAAUUCCCUAACCCUCCCCCCUAGAAAGUACUCUACCUACCACCCUUACACUAAAA
This is a non-coding RNA of Pelobates cultripes (western spadefoot toad), 238 nucleotides long. Lineage: Eukaryota; Metazoa; Chordata; Amphibia; Anura; Pelobatidae. The record is from the annotation of a GenBank genome assembly.